RNAcentral lists this ribosomal RNA (2268 nucleotides) under Proteus mirabilis. RNAcentral describes it as "partial 23S ribosomal RNA". It matches the Rfam family "Bacterial large subunit ribosomal RNA", at positions 698 to 2925 of the family's 2925-position model. Lineage: Bacteria; Pseudomonadati; Pseudomonadota; Gammaproteobacteria; Enterobacterales; Morganellaceae. The record is from RNAcentral.
AGUUGCAGGGUAUAGACCCGAAACCCGGUGAUCUAUCCAUGGGCAGGUUGAAGGUUGGGUAACACUAACUGGAGGACCGAACCGACUAAUGUUGAAAAAUUAGCGGAUGACUUGUGGAUGGGGGUGAAAGGCCAAUCAAACCGGGAGAUAGCUGGUUCUCCCCGAAAGCUAUUUAGGUAGCGCCUCGUGAACUCAUCUUCGGGGGUAGAGCACUGUUUCGACUAGGGGGUCAUCCCGACUUACCAACUCGAUGCAAACUGCGAAUACCGAAGAAUGUUAUCACGGGAGACACACGGCGGGUGCUAACGUCCGUCGUGAAGAGGGAAACAACCCAGACCGCCAGCUAAGGUCCCAAAGUCAUGGUUAAGUGGGAAACGAAGUGGGAAGGCUCAGACAGCCAGGAUGUUGGCUUAGAAGCAGCCAUCAUUUAAAGAAAGCGUAAUAGCUCACUGGUCGAGUCGGCCCGCGCGGAAGAUGUAACGGGGCUAAACCAUGCACCGAAGCUGCGGCAGCGACACAAAGUGUUGUUGGGUAGGGGAGCGUUCUGUAAGCCUGCGAAGGUGUACUGUGAGGUAUGCUGGAGGUAUCAGAAGUGCGAAUGCUGACAUAAGUAACGAUAAUGCGGGUGAAAAACCCGCACGCCGGAAGACCAAGGGUUCCUGUCCAACGUUAAUCGGGGCAGGGUGAGUCGACCCCUAAGGCGAGGCUGAAAAGCGUAGUCGAUGGGAAACGGGUUAAUAUUCCCGUACUGGUGGUAACUGCGAUGGGGGAACGGAGAAGGCUAGGUUGUCCGGGCGACGGUCGUCCCGGUUCAAGCAGGUAGGCAGAGUGAUUAGGCAAAUCCGGUCACUUAAUGCUGAGAUGUGAUGACGAACCACUAAGGUGGUGAAGCAAUUGAUGCCCCGCUUCCAGGAAAAGCCUCUAAGCUUCAGGUUACCAACAAUCGUACCCCAAACCGACACAGGUGGUCAGGUAGAGAAUACUCAGGCGCUUGAGAGAACUCGGGUGAAGGAACUAGGCAAAAUGGUGCCGUAACUUCGGGAGAAGGCACGCUGGCGGUAGGUAAAGUCCCUCGCGGACAGAGCUGAAGCCAGUCGAAGAUACCAGCUGGCUGCAACUGUUUAUUAAAAACACAGCACUGUGCAAACACGAAAGUGGACGUAUACGGUGUGACGCCUGCCCGGUGCUGGAAGGUUAAUUGAUGGGGUUAGCGCAAGCGAAGCUCCUGAUCGAAGCCCCAGUAAACGGCGGCCGUAACUAUAACGGUCCUAAGGUAGCGAAAUUCCUUGUCGGGUAAGUUCCGACCUGCACGAAUGGCGUAAUGAUGGCCAGGCUGUCUCCACCCGAGACUCAGUGAAAUUGAACUCGCUGUGAAGAUGCAGUGUACCCGCGGCAAGACGGAAAGACCCCGUGAACCUUUACUAUAGCUUGACACUGAACAUUGAGCCUUGAUGUGUAGGAUAGGUGGGAGGCUUUGAAGUGUGGACGCCAGUCUGCAUGGAGCCAACCUUGAAAUACCACCCUUUAACGUUUGAUGUUCUAACCUAGGCCCAUAAACUGGGUCGGGGACCGUGUCUGGUGGGUAGUUUGACUGGGGCGGUCUCCUCCUAAAGAGUAACGGAGGAGCACGAAGGUUGGCUAAGCAUGGUCGGACAUCAUGCGGUUAGUGCAAAGGCAUAAGCCAGCUUGACUGCGAGAGUGACGGCUCGAGCAGGUACGAAAGUAGGUCUUAGUGAUCCGGUGGUUCUGAAUGGAAGGGCCAUCGCUCAACGGAUAAAAGGUACUCCGGGGAUAACAGGCUGAUACCGCCCAAGAGUUCAUAUCGACGGCGGUGUUUGGCACCUCGAUGUCGGCUCAUCACAUCCUGGGGCUGAAGUAGGUCCCAAGGGUAUGGCUGUUCGCCAUUUAAAGUGGUACGCGAGCUGGGUUUAGAACGUCGUGAGACAGUUCGGUCCCUAUCUGCCGUGGGCGUUGGAAGAUUGAGAGGGGUUGCUCCUAGUACGAGAGGACCGGAGUGAACGCACCACUGGUGUUCGGGUUGUCAUGCCAAUGGCAUUGCCCGGUAGCUAAGUGCGGAAGAGAUAACCGCUGAAAGCAUCUAAGCGGGAAACUUGCCUCGAGAUGAGUCUUCCCUGUCGCUUUAAGCGACCUAAAGGAACGUUUAAGACUAAGACGUUGAUAGGCUGGGUGUGUAAGCGUAGCGAUACGUUGAGCUAACCAGUACUAAUGAACCGUGAGGCUUAACCUGACAACACCGAAAGUGUUUUG